Molecule: long non-coding RNA, 4039 nt
Filed under: Triticum aestivum (bread wheat)
Lineage: Eukaryota; Viridiplantae; Streptophyta; Magnoliopsida; Poales; Poaceae
Description: long non-coding RNA (TAES_LNC026882)
Source: RNAcentral
AAAUGUGUUGCAUUUUGAGACCAACAUAAUUCAUCUCUGUGUACUAAUCAAUAGUUAAAAAUUAGCUAGAAAUUAUUUAGUAUAGCAGAUAACUGGAAGUCCAGUCUACCAGGAAGCCAAUCACAAAAACAUGAUAAAAAUCAAAACCAUAGUCUUUCUAUUCCUGGCAAUUGAUCAUCCUAUACAGGAAGAUAUAGUUCAUAUACCAUUAUUAAAUAAUCUAGGCAUAUAGGUACACAAGAGCCACAAGACUGAUCCGAGUUUCAGCUUAACAUCAACCAAUUGCUUACAGUCCAGAAUAGAGUCGCAAAAUUGCAUCGAGAACAGGAUCUGACACUUGCAUUGUUGUGUUUUCCCACUAUAUAUCUGACACACACACUACAUGCACUCUGCAAAUAUGUAUCCAACCGGCUCUACUCUACGGUUACUGGAGUUUGCAGACUUCUUGGCCAUGUUAGGUAAAGAAGCUCCAUAAGUGUUAUUUCGUAGCAAGAUUGCAGCCACUCCUGCCCCCUCCUAUAUGUAGUACUUGAAAACUUCACAUGAAGGCUGUAUCAAAGUGAAUCUUGUGAAGAGAGUCAAUUCAGCUCUAGUGUUCAAUGUCACAAUGUCAGAAAGCAAGCAAUAAGAAUUCAGUUAUAUGAUCAAGCCCUCAACUGGAACCCGCGACAUGCCCCGACGCUCGGUCCCCAUCCCGCACUAUUGUGGACGCCUCCAACACCGGUGACAUCCCCGAGGUGCCCCCAAGCCAACGCGUGAACUGGAUCCAGCGACCAGGCGCGUCCAUCGGUUGGGAUCUUGGCCAGCACCAGCGGCUCCCUUCAACACCGCCGCCCUCUGGAAAUUUCUCACUCAAGAGAAAUGGAAACUUCUCACUCAAGAGAAAUUAUCUUUUGAAACUAAAUAUUAUAGACUAAAUUACUAACAGGAUCAAUGUUCUGACCAUGAGAUAGUUACAGUGCCCUCCAUAGAAAAAAAGAACUUGAAUUGGAGAUCGAUAUAAGUGAUAGCUCUUUCACCGUCAUUGAAGAAAAAUAUAACUGUUGCACCAUGCUAGGCACUCAGAUAAACCCCAAACAUAUUGUAUAUUUAUUUGGAAGAAACUUCAACAAUAUAAGAAAAUCUAGGGAUCAAAAUGGUAAACUGUUUUAGGAUCUUGCACAAGAAAUCAGUAAAACUUGCAAAGCGCAAUUGCAGAUCAUGUCCUACUAUUCUCAAAAUUCAGAGAUGUCAUAAACUGAAGCCACUUCUGUUUAGGCUAAAACGGAGUGUCGUGAUGUUUGUUUUGGGCGAAUUUCUUUUGGCAAACUUAGUGAUGCUCUAAAAAACCAUAAACCAAAGCAAAUGCAUGUUGUCUGUUCACUUUUCCUUUUAUGUAGGAUCUGCUGAACUGAUGAGUUGAAUAAUUGUAUUUGGAAUAUGAUAUCAUAUAUAGUAACUCAUUGCCUGCUACCAAUACAAGAAACCUCACAUGAAGCAUAUGACAAGGUUUAUCAAACAAGCAAGUAGGAUUAACCUCCAGUAAAUUACAUCAAGAUGGAAGCUUUCUAUUUAGUAAUCCCUCCGUCCGAAAAUAAGUGACUCAAGUUUGUACUAACUUUGUACUAAAGUUAGUACAAAGUUGAGUCACUUAUAUUGGGACGGAGGGAGUAGACAGGUAGUUGAUGGGAUGUUACCUGCAGGACCUUGGUCUUUUAUCCUCCGAGCUGAGUUGUGCCACCAUGAAGGACAGUCCUUCCAGUUCCACGCGCUUGGACGGCCAGUGCCAUCCAACAGCAGGUGGCGUAGUGGAGGCAUGGGUGAUCUGCACACGCACACACAUCUGCUAGGUCAAGCGCCAAGGUAGGUGGUGCUGACCGACAAAGAACUCGCCAGAGACGCUUAAAUCUGUAGUUCACCAAAAGAUUUCUACCUAAUAUCCUGCUCCCAAAUACAUAGAAACUGUUUUUUUUAAAUAAGAGUUAUAUUAGCACAGGCACCAAGAGGAAUGAUAUUGUAUCAUCUUCAGGGCAUACCUCAUGGAAAUCAAUUUCAUCAGACAGGAACAGACGCAUUGGACAACAUCACUUUGAUAUGGAAUAAUGAAGAACAAACAUGAGGCAGUUAACAAUUUAACAUGAACUUGUGGAAGUUUGGCAAGCAAGACUUGAAGUGUACAUGAUAAAAUGAAAACUCGGUAAAGAUUUAUCUAUGAGCAGCAAUACAUAUACUUUACACCAUUGAUGUUCACAACCAUGAGAUCAGUAAAAAUAUCAAAGUCCAUGAAUGCAAAAUAGGUCCACUUUGGUGCAUCAUCUAAGCAAUUCAUGGUGAUAGACGUCUCACAAUUGCCCAAACCACAAUAUAAUCUUGAACACCCAUGGUCCACAGUAUAGUUUUCUAAAAGAAGGUAUGCUCCAUCGUCAUUCUUCAAACGUGAGUAAUUGCUUAAGAAUUUGAAGAAAAUAGAAAGAUUGUGCUGGAUCACCAAACUGUAAGCCAACUGAUAGCGGCGCAGGUAAUCCCUAUACUCUAGCUCACAUUCACGUCACAGACCAAACCACUAAAAUCAACCCAUUAUUGCAAUAAUCAAGGGCAAAGUCAAUUGGGAUUUUUACCAGUGCAGGCUGAGUCUCUCAGUAUUGCAAAUCCUUGUAAAAAAAUGGGUCAGCCAGCCUUGCGCUCAGAAAAAUUACACAAAAUCAUGAUGUUACCAGGGUGUCAGAUCAGAAAGUAUUAGUCCAUAAGAGAUACACAUUCGAAGUGCUCAAAAAUAAGAACGGAACUCUUAAUUGCUUGAGACAAGCUGAAAAGGGUAAGCUUGUGUCUUUUUACCAAUAAAGUUUUCAUCUCCUGGAUGUGGCGUGAAAAUAUUAUUAUUUUUGUUUCAGUCACCUUAUAAAAAAACAUACAAUUUCUUAGUGCUCCUAGAGAAUCAUAGGACAUAGUCAAUGGAUUAAUUAGCCUACAGAGUACAGACUGACCUUGGGACUCUCCUUGACAAGGAGCUUGCAAGAAGACACAGUUGAAACUGGUGCACCCCGUAUCAAUAAUGUUUUUGCAGCUUGCAGUUGCUGCCAUGACAUUCAUCCUACUCCAUGAAAGAGAAAAUUGGCAACGAUGUUUAGGUUUGCCAUCCUGCAUUCAUGCUUAUCUUUCAUAGAAAGAACACGGCAAAACAAUUCCAAAUAUCUGAAUAUCUGCUAUUGUGUGCAUGAAAUUAUUAGCCAUCUAAUUGUGACCAGGGAAAUAUAUAAUCAGUACAUGGUGAGUUCAGCUUCUAGCGAUGCAAUAGAUACAUGUUCAGUAUGAUUAGAUAAUACAGAAGAUUGACCAAAGACGGAUCAAGGGCUGCGUCACGGCGGGGCAUACCUAUAUAUCCUCCCCUCUGGUUCCUUCACUAUGACAAAACAUCUGUUUUAGGAGCUAUUGAAUUCCAAGAAAUUUUGGUGGUCAUACUUUCUGUCAGAAAAAUGUUAAAGGUCAAAUACUCUUGUUAGGAUCGGAUUCACAAAUAAAUAUACAUGUUUGUGCGAGAGGUGCUUCUUCUGGAUCAUAGAAGAUGGUCCAGUCAUCUGGCCAAAGAUACCACCGUUCUGGCCAAAGAGCACAACUACAGAUAAAUGGUUACAGAUAGACGAUGGGUCAGCUGCAAUUUGCAUCAAUUAUAUAUCAUAUGACAUAUGAAGAUGACAACCCUAUGAUCUAGAACAAGGAUAGCUACCAAAAUCGAACAGAGGCGAUGUAGGGGGAUUUCUGUUACCAAAGAGAGAAAAAUACAGAGCUGAGUAGCCCUUAAUUAAUGAGUUAGCCCACAUCACCAAAAAAGGGUAAACUGUUAAAGUGAGCUCACUUGUUUACCUAGGUUGGAAUUCCAAGACCUCGGCGAGCUUGUUCUCGUAGGCGUCCUUCCAUUGCACACACCGCUAUUAACCCAUGUAGCCCUUCUGCGUCGUGCCGCCGCGUGGGUGGGGUAUGAUCCUUGCUGUAUCCAAAGAAAAAUUGUUAGUGUAUGAUCUAUGGAAUCAAGUAGUGAGCUACCUGAAGUAUCGAUCACCUG